GCAGGUUGUAUGCGCUCCCCGAGGGUAAAACGUAAGUAGGUGUCCCUGCUACCA
This 54-nucleotide transfer RNA is filed under the name Hemiphyllodactylus pinlaungensis (Pinlaung slender gecko). RNAcentral describes it as "partial tRNA-Tyr". The record is from RNAcentral. Lineage: Eukaryota; Metazoa; Chordata; Lepidosauria; Squamata; Gekkonidae.